Molecule: ribosomal RNA, 253 nt
Filed under: uncultured bacterium
Lineage: Bacteria
Description: partial 16S ribosomal RNA
Rfam family: Bacterial small subunit ribosomal RNA
Source: RNAcentral
UACGUAGGGACCAAGCGUUGUUCGGAUUUACUGGGCGUAAAGGGCGCGUAGGCGGCGUGUCAAGUCAAUUGUGAAAUCUCCGGGCUUAACUCGGAACGGUCAAUUGAUACUGAUGUGCUAGAGUGCAGAAGGGGCAAUCGGAAUUCUUGGUGUAGCGGUGAAAUGCGUAGAUAUCAGGAGGAACACCAAUGGCGAAGGCAGCUCGCUGGGACGGUACUGACGCUGAGGCGCGAAAGCGUGGGGAGCGAACAGG